RNAcentral lists this ribosomal RNA (1417 nucleotides) under Microtrichalus sp. BM0122. RNAcentral describes it as "SSU rRNA". It matches the Rfam family "Eukaryotic small subunit ribosomal RNA", at positions 1 to 1342 of the family's 1831-position model. Lineage: Eukaryota; Metazoa; Arthropoda; Insecta; Coleoptera; Lycidae. The record is from RNAcentral.
GACAACCUGGUUGAUCCUGCCAGUAGUCAUAUGCUUGUCUCAAAGAUUAAGCCAUGCAUGUCUCAGUACAAGCCAAAUUAAGGUGAAACCGCGAAAGGCUCAUUAAAUCAGUUAUGGUUCCUUAGAUCGUACCAACAUUUACUUGGAUAACUGUGGUAAUUCUAGAGCUAAUACAUGCAAACAGAGCUUCGACCGGAGACGGAAGAGGCGCUUUUAUUAGAUCAAAACCAAUCGGCGGCGGGUCCGCUUGCGGGCUCGUCGUCGUUUUCACUGACGAAUCUGAAUAACUUUCUGCUGAUCGCACGGUCUAGCACCGGCGACGCAUCUUUCAAAUGUCUGCCUUAUCAACUGUCGAUGGUAGGUUCUGUGCCUACCAUGGUUGUAACGGGUAACGGGGAAUCAGGGUUCGAUUCCGGAGAGGGAGCCUGAGAAACGGCUACCACAUCCAAGGAAGGCAGCAGGCGCGCAAAUUACCCACUCCCGGCACGGGGAGGUAGUGACGAAAAAUAACGAUACGGGACUCAUCCGAGGCCCCGUAAUCGGAAUGAGAACAAUUUAAAUCCUUUAACGAGGAUCAAUUGGAGGGCAAGUCUGGUGCCAGCAGCCGCGGUAAUUCCAGCUCCAAUAGCGUAUAUUAAAGUUGUUGCGGUUAAAAAGCUCGUAGUCGAAUCUGUGUCCCGCGCCGCCGGUUCGUCGCUCGCGGCGUUUAACUGGCGUGUCCGCGGGACGUCCUGCCGGUGGGCUUAGCCUUUUCAUUAAGGCGGCCCAAUCUUAAUCCCGCCGCGGUGCUCUUCACCGAGUGUCGAGGCGGGCCGGCACGUUUACUUUGAACAAAUUAGAGUGCUUAAAGCAGGCUAAAACUUCGCCUGAAUACUUCGUGCAUGGAAUAAUGGAAUAGGACCUCGGUUCUAUUUUGUUGGUUUUCGGAACCCCGAGGUAAUGAUUAAUAGGAACGGAUGGGGGCAUUCGUAUUGCGACGUUAGAGGUGAAAUUCUUGGAUCGUCGCAAGACGGACAGAAGCGAAAGCAUUUGCCAAAAACGCUUUCAUNGAUCAAGAACGAAAGUUAGAGGUUCGAAGGCGAUCAGAUACCGCCCUAGUUCUAACCAUAAACNAUGCCAGCUAGCGAUCCGCCGANGUUCCUNCNAUGACUCGGCGGGCAGCUUCCGGGAAACCAAAGCUUUUGGGUUCCGGGGGAAGUAUGGUUGCAAAGCUGAAACUUAAAGGAAUUGACGGAAGGGCACCACCAGGAGUGGAGCCUGCGGCUUAAUUUGACUCAACACGGGAAACCUCACCAGGCCCGGACACCGGAAGGAUUGACAGAUUGAGAGCUCUUUCUUGAUUCGGUGGGUGGUGGUGCAUGGCCGUUCUUAGUUGGUGGAGCGAUUUGUCUGGUUAAUUCCGAUAACGAACGAGACU